This is a long non-coding RNA of Crotalus tigris (Tiger rattlesnake), 3387 nucleotides long. RefSeq lists it as uncharacterized. The record is from RefSeq and is a predicted model, not a curated record. NCBI's taxonomy places the organism in Eukaryota, Metazoa, Chordata, Lepidosauria, Squamata, Viperidae. The transcript has 2 exons.
AGAUCCCUAUGUGAAAAUUCAUCUGAUGCAGAAUGGAAAACGGUUGAAGAAGAAGAAGACAACAAUUAAGAAGAACACUCUGAAUCCUUAUUACAAUGAAUCAUUCAGCUUUGAAGUACCAUUUGAGCAAAUCCAGAAAGUGCAAAUUGUUGUGACUGUUUUGGACUAUGACAAGAUCGGCAAGAAUGACGCCAUUGGCAAAGUCUUUGUGGGCUACAACAGCACUGGUGCAGAGCUACGACAUUGGUCAGACAUGUUGGCCAACCCAAGGCGACCCAUUGCACAGUGGCAUACCUUACAACCAGAGGAAGAAGUAGAUGCCAUGCUUGCUGUCAAGAAGUAGGAAGAAAGUGAAAUGUGAAAAGAAGGCCUUUCUGCAUUUGCCCAUAUAGUGCUCUUUAGCCAGUAUCUGUAAAUACCUCAGUAAUAUGGGUCCUUUUAUUUCCAGCCAUGCAUCCCCAACACAGAUCAGUGGUACUUCUACUUGUUUUAAUUUGCACAACUUCAAUGUAGAAAAAGCCCUAUAAGGCACUCCAUCUCACCACUGCCCUCAGAUCUACUCUUCUUUUAAGCAAUAUGUGUAGAUAGAGCAUGACAGAAAUUAUUUAUUGUAUCACACAGUUGUACAUACCAGUAUCUAAAAAUUUAUUUCUAGUCCGUUUAUUUGUUUGUCGUAAAUGUUUCCUAAUCUGUGUAUAUCUAGAUGUUUUUAAUAAGAUGUUAUAUUUUAAAUUAUGUAAAUUGACUGAGAUAUAGGAGAGCUGAUAAUUAUAUUAUAGGGUAACUAUUGUCUGCAUUCCAGCAAAAAUUCCAACUUGUAAGGCACUAGUAGUGUUACACUGACAUCUUAAAGGACAACUUAAAUCUGAGCUUUGAACUGAACCAUUACAAUAUCAAGAUAUGUUCUUGAAGGAAUGAAUCCACUGGUAGACUUUUCUUGUGGGCAAUUUUGCAUGAUCUGAGUAGGACUGACUUCUAGGAAGCAUAGCAGAAGCUGAUAUAUCACUUUUUUUCCUCUUUCUCUCUCUGUAUAUAUAUGUGUGUGUAUAAACAAACUGAAAUCAUGGCUUUACAUUUAGAAAUGAAGGUACAGUUGCAUCAAGGGAGGGAGGUGGGAGCAUGAAAUAUUACACAUAGCACCAUAUAAACUAUGUGUGGGAAUUAUUUCAGGGUUAUGUAGCAGCAGCCGCCGCCGCCCUGCUCUUACCCGUGGCAAACAUAUAUACUUGAAGACAAGUAGCUCUCCUUUUAUCACCUUUAUACGAAUUUGCAUACUGUGAAUCCCAUUUGUGCUCUCACAUUCUCUAAUUCUAAUGAGUUUGCACAUUAAACUUUGUAACAAAAUAUUUUAUUAUACUAAGCCAGAUGAGAAGGAAUGCAGAAUAUUUUUUAAAGCAAAACAAAAAAAAAAUCACAGCCGUGUGUGUUUAUUAUACAAAAGUAGUUUCAUGGUGACGAGACAGUAUUGUACAAUCCCAUCAAAAGAGGACAAAAAAUUAGCCAUAUUUCUGAAUGCACUUCAAAGCAAGCCAAAAGAUAACAGCUAGUGACCUUUUAUAUACUAUUUAUACUAAUAAGUUUUAAUUUGUCCUUUAAAAAAAGUGAAACAAAACAAAGAACAAGUUCUAGCAAACUGAAGCAACCUCUUAUGUAUACUAGAUGCUCGUUUCAGGAGGAGUUUUUAAAUGUUUUCAAUGUUACUAUGUAGUAAAUGGCACAAUUAUGAAGCUAUUAGUCAUUCCAUAAGCGUCUUAAAAGACUGCUCUGUGUAUCACUGUGACUGCCGUGUGUGCUUAGAAACUGUAGUUCUCUCAGUGGAUAUCAAUCAAUUUAUUCUGUAGUGAUAUUGUAAAAAUACUGCCAUUCCCUUCUACUGCACUGCCGAAGGAUUGCAUAGCACAAGAUGUUCUUAUAGCUAUGGACCAAUUCAGAACUGAAGAGCUAUGCACAGGACAAGGCAUCAUAUAGAGUGGACUGACAACACAGCAUUUUGUCGACACUGUGCAAUAUUCCACAUCUCUCCCCAGGUUGAUGGUAAAGGCUGUCCUUCAGACAAGACCAAUGGUCACUUUAUCUUAUAUAAUUUCCUUGUGUCUCAUCAGAGCAUUAUUUUUGCAACUGGGCUUUCUUCCUUGGAGAUCCCUUUCAUUAAUUUAUUUAAAUGCUGUAUAUUUAUUUAAAAGAUUGUAAAUAUAUUUUAAUAUGUUGAAACACAGGUUCUAUUUUCAGGAACACUAAGCACCAAAAAUAAAAAAUCCAAGAAAACAUUUCUCCCCUUCCCAUUAAAAAAAAAAAAAAAACUUUUGGUGGUAAGUGUGGAAUUUCAUCAGAAAUAAUUUCAAAAUAUAGUUUUCUUUUUUAAGAAAAAAAGGCAUCCCCAGUCGUGGGGUUUUUUUAUGACAGAUCUCCUUUUUCAGAGCUCUAAGCUGGCAUGUUACUUAUGAAAUGUAGAGAAUUGAACUCACAAGCCACAAAUGGAUUGUGACAAUUUAAUCCAGUUUCUAUUUAACUUUCCACAAGGAGCAACAUUUAUUUAUUCUGAUGCUCUUUCUAUUCUCUGCAUGAGUGUUUUUCAACCUAAGCAGCUUUAAGAUGUGUGAACUUCAACUCUCAGAAUUCCCCAGCCAGCAGUUUUGCUGGCUGGGGAAUUCUGGGAGUUGAAGUCCACACAUCUUAAAGUUGCUGACAUUGAGAAACACCAUUCUACAUCAAAGAGGAAAAGACAUAAUUGAAUCAGAUAAGCUGAACUAUAUAUAAGAGGGUCCUUUUGUAAUUGUAUACGACCACCAAUUCUCAAAGAGAGUGAGCCUAAACACAGAGGGUUCAGUUCUGCUGUAACUUCUUUUAGUUGAUCAGCAUAAUGGGAGAGAAAUUUCAGACCGAAGCUACCAGAAUUGAUUCAUUGUGUGAAGGUAUUCUAAAUUGAUUCUCUUUUUACACUGCCAGAAUGAAUGUCACUGUGGAAUUGGCUUGUAAUGUUCCAUCAUUUUUAGCAGAAAAGUCUGCUAUUUGACCAAGAUGACAUUUUCAUUCUCAAAAGAAGCCACAUGUACCUUCCUGACAAAGCUGUGUAAAGUAUUAGAAUCUGAUGCUGUAGAAAGAUCCUAGUUGCCUUUGUGUAUAUUUACUGCCUGCUUGAGUGUUUCUAUGUGUGGGGUUUUUUCUCUGUAUCUUGUAGAAACAUUUGGGGUGUUCUAUCCUGCCAUAUUGCUCGUGACCCACGAGCUGACAAGUUUAGCUGUAUUUUACAUUUAGUUUUGAUGAAGGUGGUUUAUCUUUUGUUUCACUUUUGUGUAGUGAAUCCCACAGUAGAGUUUUCAAGGUGUUGUUAAAUAAAACAUACAUACUACACAAUAUCCAAUAAAAUGUUUUAUUUCCUGUUGAUGC